AGAGGGCUGAAUGGUGGCGCCCUUGAGUUGGCCUAGAUGUGGUGAUUUGUUGACGGGGCGGUGGGCUUGGUAUUGCUGGUACAGGUAACUAACGCGUUUUUGUUGUUUUGGCUUGGGUACGACAACGGGCAACUUGCUGACAACUCAGACACGCAGAAAAUGGGAGGCGGAAAUAAAUAAAUGUGACAAUCGGGAAAGGAAAAGCGAAGAAUAUCAGUAAUAAAUGUCACGUUGGACGAAGCAAAACUGGGGUAGAUAGUAAUGGUAGAUGGAGAGUAUUAAGGGAUCAAAGUGAUAAAACAACGAAUGAAUAAACAAAUAUGGGUACGAAACGAAGAGGGAAAAGUGUAUCUCAAAAACGAAAAACGAUAGAUGAUAAAAAUUAAUUAAAAUAAAAGAAGAAAAAAGCUAAAAGAACGACUGAUCACCCACGCACACAGCUUCUUUAUAAUUUCAUUAGAAAAGCUGUUUGUGAUAUGCGAUUCUUGUGUCCACGACCAACCGGCCGUGUUCGUCAGGCGGGGAUGGGGAAGAGAAAGGAAAAGGAAAGAGGAAGAAAACGUCGGAGAAAAGAAUAAGACAAAGUAAUCACCAUUAUUUCCCUGGUCAACGUUCUCUUCCUUUCUUUCUUAGGCUCAAUUUCGUUCGUUUCUUAUUAGGGGCAUUAAGGCUCCCCACAUUUAACCACCCGAUCAGUCUUCAAAAAUACAUCAUCAUGGACAGCAGAAGCAGCACUAUCAACGCUUUUUUCUUUUUCUCUUCUUUCUUGGUGUUGCUGUGAGUUGCCUGAAAAUGCGGCGCUGGGUGUCCAACAGGAAUGGGCACAUAUUUUCUUAGAUCAACCAGCACGGAGUUAGAGUUUGACACACUAUCGAUCAACAGUGCUACCAGCGACUAUUAUUCUUAUUAUUGUUAUUUAUUUCCUGUUCCUCCUCUCUUCAAAGACCUCAUGGAAUCCCCGUGACGCAGUGUUCACUCCCAGAAGGUCAAGAAUUCUAUCCAGAUUGCCAGC
RNAcentral lists this small RNA (1012 nucleotides) under Histoplasma capsulatum var. duboisii H88. Its description in RNAcentral is "Histoplasma capsulatum H88 hypothetical RNA". The record is from RNAcentral. Lineage: Eukaryota; Fungi; Ascomycota; Eurotiomycetes; Onygenales; Ajellomycetaceae.